CGUUAUUUCUUGAAUAUUUUCAAUGGCCUAUAUUAUGUAAAAAUCGUAUUCCAAGUUGGAAAAACUAACGCGUGUUUUAGUGAAACUAUACGGUGAUCGAUACAAUAAUGGGGGCAGUACAGGAUGAUUUUUUUUUUUUUAUCACGAACCAGUAAUUUUCUCGGAGGAUUUUAAAUGAAUUUGAUUUCCGUUUUGUUUUAAUCAUUG
Cinara cedri is the source of this 207-nucleotide non-coding RNA. NCBI's taxonomy places the organism in Eukaryota, Metazoa, Arthropoda, Insecta, Hemiptera, Aphididae. The record is from the annotation of a GenBank genome assembly.